CUGGUGUCCCGCCGCCCGUCCGUGCGCCGCAGGAGCCUCCGCCGGGAGCCGCGCCGGUGCCGCUUCGGCCCGUACGGCCCGGAGGAGCUGGGCAGCUGCACCCUGCGCUUUGCUGUCUACACCAGGUCACGGAGCCUCCAGGAUUCCUUCGUGGGCGAGGUCCUGUUCCCCUGCGCCGAGGCCUCCUGGGACCCCCGCGCCCCCUCCAGCUACUCCUGGGAGCUGGCAAGCACCAAAACCAAGCUCAGCAAGGCCACUACGUCAUCGUCCAUCUCCACCACGACGGCCACAUCAUCGACACCAAGGAGACCAAGCCCGCCAGUGGCUACAACCCCGUGUGGAACGCGCCCUUCCUCUUCAGCAUCCCCGCCGGGGACAUCCAGCAGCAGGAGCUGGCCUUGGAGUUCAUUGUCAUGCAGGCUCGGCUCCACACCCGCGGCUCCAUGCUGGGCCGUGUCCAGGUGGGGCCAGGUGCCCUUGGGACCGGGAUGCCGCACUGGAGGGACAUGUGCAGCCAGGCACCGCUGGAGUCGGAGCGUUGGCAUUGCAUCCAGCCCCCUGCACCCGGCCCUUGAUCCUGCGGGAAGGACUCGGGACUGAGCCAGGGGGGCUCCGAGCUGUGGAGAGGGGAUGUGGCACCCACACACCAGCGGGGGAGAAGCCCUGGCUCCAUCUCUGGGGCUGGAGAUCACUGGUGGUCGGCCCAUCCUGAACAUCUACAGAGGGGACUGAGCCCAUCUGAAGUGGGAGAGGAGAGGAGGAGAGGAGCUUUGUCUGCUCUGUCCCCUGUCUGCUCCAUCCCCUGUCUGCUCCAUCCCCUCUCUGCUCCAUCCCCUGUCUGCUCCGUCCUGUCUGCUCCAUCCCCUGUCUGCUCCAUCCCCUGUCUGCUCCAUCCCCUGUCUGCUCCGUCCCCUGUCUGCUCCAUCCUCUCUGCUCCAUCCCCUGUCUCCAUCUGGAAUCUCAGCUGUGCAGGAGCCGGGUGGGACAAUCACCCAACCGAGAUCCCUGUGGCCACCACAGUGGUGGCAUCUCCUGCCCUUUCCACCCCGCCUGAGUGGAGCCGCGUGAACACGCCAAUGUCACCUGCUGAAAAAGGUGUCCAUCGGCAUUUCUGAUUGAGCGCUGGCCUUAAUGAGGGCUCGAUAAAUAAAUAAAGGGUUGGGAAUGAUCA
This 1171-nucleotide long non-coding RNA is filed under the name Cyanistes caeruleus (blue tit). RNAcentral describes it as "lncRNA (ENSCCEG00000005124.1)". Lineage: Eukaryota; Metazoa; Chordata; Aves; Passeriformes; Paridae. The record is from RNAcentral.